RNAcentral lists this non-coding RNA (177 nucleotides) under marine sediment metagenome. Its description in RNAcentral is "6S / SsrS RNA". It matches the Rfam family "6S / SsrS RNA". From Rfam's summary of the family: E. coli 6S RNA was the first non coding RNA to be sequenced, but its function was unknown until recently. It consists of 184 nucleotides that fold into an extended hairpin structure with a large single-stranded internal bulge. The 6S RNA specifically associates with RNA polymerase holoenzyme containing the sigma70 specificity factor. The record is from RNAcentral. RNAcentral also lists the same sequence under 1 other name.
ACCCUGCUAUGCCCGUGACCGACUUGAAGUUCUGAGCCAACAGCGACACCUAGGGAGCCCGGACUCUGGUUGUGGCUCACAGGCCCCCGCGCGGGGAAGUGAUAAGCAAUCAGGAGGGCACCCACGUUCUGAGAAGGGGUUCAGGAAACUUUGAGAGGUCAACGGCAUCGUGGGGUU